AACGAACGCUGGCGGCAUGCUUAACACAUGCAAGUCGAACGAAGUCCCCGGGCUUGCCUGGGGAUCCUUAGUGGCGGACGGGUGAGUAACGCGUGGGAACCUGCCCAGGAGUGGGGAAUAACUAUUGGAAACGAUAGCUAAUACCGCAUAUUUCCUGAGGGAGAAAGGCUUCGGCCGCUUUUGGAUGGUCCCGCGUCUGAUUAGCUUGUUGGUGGGGUAACGGCCUACCAAGGCGACGAUCAGUAGCUGGUCUGAGAGGAUGAUCAGCCACACUGGGACUGAGACACGGCCCAG
Molecule: ribosomal RNA, 294 nt
Filed under: uncultured bacterium
Lineage: Bacteria
Description: partial 16S ribosomal RNA
Rfam family: Bacterial small subunit ribosomal RNA
Source: RNAcentral